GGCCCUCCGUCCCUGUGCCAAUCUUGCCUGCACCACCGUCUCUCUCCCUCUCUGGAUCCUGGCCGUUGCCACAGCCAGGGCAGCGCCUCUCACUCUCUCCCUAACGCGUGCGGCAGCGACGGCAUGGCAGGCGGUGGCCAUGGUGCCUGCGCCCCCAUGGCGGCAGCUCCCGGCCACAGAGCAGCGCAACCGCACCCACAUGAUGGCCGCUAGCGCUGCUUCCUCUCGGCGCUGCAUCCUCACGCUGAUCCGUGUGGCCUCAACGAAACCCUAGCUGCCUCUUCCUGCGCGCCGCAACCGGUUCGUCUGCUCUACGCAUGCACAGGGGUGCAUCUUCUGCUCCAUUCGCUUCUUGCCGUCUCCCAGGAACAACUGUGUAACUUUGAUUUGUACAACUGCUCUUCGUUUUAAUGGUAUGACCUUACAGAAGUGACUUCACAGCUCUAAAAGAUUACAUCUCAUUCUGUGGUUCCAAUGUGUAAUUUCAAAACAAUUACGGAUGUUGCUAUUGCCAUAAUGCUUUCUUGGAUACAGAUUUGCCUGAGGUGCCGACCUUGAAGUUUUAAUUCAUAGGGACAGGUCAUGCAACUCACUAUAUGAUCAAAUACAGUAUGUCUCCAUGGAGGUUAUAGUUGGACACACACAAGAUGCUACUACCCACGAUUUGAAUGCCUUCACAGCUUCACGCAUAUUCGCAGCGUAAAAAUAGGAAAAAAAUAUUGAGUUUUAUUCAGCUACUUAAAAGCGACACCUGUUGCCUCCAAGACCGAGGACGCUAGACAAACCGCGACAAAAAAGACCCCAAAAGGAACCUGAAGGUAUAUUCCAGCCCACCCCAUUACCGUGUUUCGGGGAGCACAGGCUUUUGUUAGGUUCAGAACAACACAUGCAACAGCUAUGUUGUGUCGUACCUAUCUGUUACUAGAAAUCUCUACAUAGCUAUGAACUGUAUGUCUAGAACUCUGCAUAAAAAUCAUGCUACCUUCUCAUGGCCCAGGCUCAGCAUUGGUCUACUUCCUUGCAGCGUUGUAUAUCAGUAUAUGCUACCAUCAGAUUAUGAAUUUGUAUCAAAUUACCACAUCUAUUACCUAAA
Molecule: long non-coding RNA, 1093 nt
Organism: Sorghum bicolor (sorghum)
Lineage: Eukaryota; Viridiplantae; Streptophyta; Magnoliopsida; Poales; Poaceae
Exons: 8
Source: RefSeq, a predicted model, not a curated record